Molecule: ribosomal RNA, 478 nt
Filed under: Cremnops crassifemur
Lineage: Eukaryota; Metazoa; Arthropoda; Insecta; Hymenoptera; Braconidae
Description: eukaryotic LSU rRNA
Rfam family: Eukaryotic large subunit ribosomal RNA
Source: RNAcentral
CUGAGAAACCUAAAAGGAAAAGAGAGAUUCAAGGACUUAGUAUACUGAGUAAUGUCACAUUUUCAUGUUAUUUAUUGCUAAUUGCAGCGAGCACUUCUCUCUUAGUAGGACGUCCCGACCCGUUAAGUCUUAGCCUACGGCCCGAACUUUAAUAUUUUUUGUAUUGAAGACCUUCGGUAUUGAAGACCUUCGGUGUUUGUCUGGCCUAAGUACUUGACGGGGUAUUAAGCCGCAAAUUUUUUUGCGUCCUUGCGUCCGGCCUGCCGCAAGUUUAUUGACAAACUGUAUUAUCAUAGACCUUGUGCUAUGUAUAUGGGUUGUGCUUUUGGACCGGCUUAUUCUAUGCCUGUCAGGGACGCUUAGGCUUUGGGUACUCUCAGGACCCGKCUUGAAACACGGACCAAGGAGUCUAACAUGUACGCGAGUCAUUGGGUAUAUAUUUUCCAAACCUAAAGGCGAAAUGAAAGUAAAGGUCGGG